AUGCCCGAUGUCGCGAGGAUGACAGCAAUUCCUGUAUAGGGCAGAGUCAUCGGUGGCCGUUGGUUGUAGCGCGGAAAUUGCGUCAAUUAUUCGAGGAAGCCGGCUUGGCCCGCAAAUUGCGCGUUCAUCCCUGCCUCCAGAGGAUUUUCAGUUUAUUGCAGACGUUUCAUUAAGAGAAGAGAGAAGAGGUUAUGUUCUGAACUCUAAAUCGAUUGCUGUAAGAUUUGAAGGAGAAUUUCUAAGUUUAAAUUUUAAAUUAUUAUCCUGAGAAUCAGAUUAAGGAUAUAUAUAAGGAAGACUGAAGAUGUCGAACAUGAACACGAAAGAGAAGUCUGUGGUGUGGUCUAAUGUGAGUGAACAAACCAUUAAACUACACUCAACCAGUACUCGACUGAUUAUAUCCCAUUAGAUACGACAUGUGUGCAUUAAGCGAGUUAUCGCGCUCGCACUAGUCUCUACUACACGAUCGAGACCAUUGGCUGAAGCUAACAAUUUUAAUGGGAGAGAUUUGUAGUUAGAAGAAACUGUAGAUAUAUAAACUUGUAUUAUAUUUGAUUUUAUUUUAGGAUUAAAUUAUUGUUAAUAACAUUUUAUUAAGUAUAAAUUCUAUAGUUUUUUCAACAGAUUUUAAUGUUUUUAAAAAAAAACAUAUAAAUUAAAAACAGUUUUAUUGAAAAAUUAAUUAUUAAUAUUUUUAUAUUUA
Long non-coding RNA from Apis cerana (Asiatic honeybee), 703 nucleotides. RefSeq lists it as uncharacterized. Lineage: Eukaryota; Metazoa; Arthropoda; Insecta; Hymenoptera; Apidae. The record is from RefSeq and is a predicted model, not a curated record.